AAGAAAUUAAGAAAAAGAAACAAAAUUGGUUAGCCUAUAAUAAUCACUUGCUAAUAGUGAUCAAUUUUCUUGUUUGCACUUUGCAGCUAAAUGUAGCAGGCAGCUAUUGUUUGUUUGAUUUUGUGAACUGAAGGAAGAAUUUAAGUUAUUUGAGGUUUUACACUUAGCAGUUUAUCUUUGCAAUCAUUUUUAUUUUUGUAUUAAGUAUUCGUUUGACCCUUUGUCUCAGGGCCGCUUUGGUUUCCUAUUGACUAAGUGGACUAAAGGAACAUAAAUCUUACUCAGGUUGACAUUGAGUAGCAAAUGUUUACAUUUGAUUCACUGUGAUCUUUUUUAUUUGAGACCUAUAAAAGUGUCUACUGCAGGAAAAUGGAAAGAGUAACUCUAAACAUCAAUCUAGAAUCAAAUCUAUGAAUGUAUUGAAUUGAGAACUGAUUUUGAAUCGCAAAUCGAAUCGCUUUUGAAUCGUGAAUCGUUUUGAAUCGCAAAUCAAAUCGUGACCCCAAGGAAUUGAAUCGAAUCGUGAGAUUUCCUGAAUCGUGCACCCCUAUUAGCUAUGUAUAGUAGCAGGAGAGUUGUGAGUAUAGCUGUCUGUCCGCUCUGCAUGUUAGCUUCACAACAGCAAUUAUAGCAACAGUUUGCUAACCCACAACUUAGCUAACCCUAGUCACAUUACCUACUGUGUAGUUGUUCACUCUAUAUCAUGGUAUUUGUCCAUACAAUGUUUGCAAAGUGUUUUAUAGCCAUGAAGACCUAAAAACUCAGGCUUGCUAGCAUAGUGGGAUUAUUUGGAUUGAUACACAGGUCGAAAUGGUUAGCUUAGCUAAAAACCUACAGUCCUAUCCUCAGUCACUGUAGUUUUGUAAAAUCAACCUUAACAACUAACUCUGGCUAGUUUUUACUCUGUUGUGUUUUGGCUGCUGUGUUAGAUAUAUAGAUUGAAAUAUUGUAUGUUAAAAAUUUGUUACUGUUUCAUAUUUGCAAUUCGAUGUGCACACAUGCAAUGAGGUUUGUCACACAACACAUUGUCAUCUCUGUUACAUUUUGUGAUGAGUACAGACAAGUAGAGUUACAAUUUUUCAUAUGCCAUUUCAAUUCUGUGUCGAAAGGUGAUGGCCGGCUGGCUAGUCCUGGGUUUUGUGCUCAGUAAUGCAUGAAUUCUGCCAUGGAGAAUGAUGCAAAGCAGAUUAUCUACAUAACCAACAUUGAUUCUGUCAUCAUGGAGAAGGAAGGCUUUGUAAGGGCAUUUGAGACUCUUCAUCGAGAAGUCAAGCUGACUGAAAUAUUCCCAGAUUUCAGCUCUUUUCAGUAAGUACUAGUAGUGCUUGUGUAGAUGAGGUUGAUCUAACAGCGAUUUUUACAGAAAUACAUCUGCCUAUUGGACUGUAAUUACUGUGUUUUAUGCACUGGGUUUGUAGCUAGCAUAUGUGCUUCUUGUAUUUGUUCUCUCCAUAUAGAUCCAGCCAGGUGGGAAUUCAGAUAAGGGGGUGCAGCACUCCCUUGAUGUGUGGCACGGUUCAGAAAACCUUUCAAGAGGACUACUAGUGGCAAGCCAACAGAAGGGGUGCUCCCAUCCUUUUGCAGUGGAAUAAAGACAUUUGCAACCAUUUCUGGUACUGCUGCAAGAUGGCUGACAGCUAUGACAACUUCUUUGUAUGUAUUAGUGAAAGUAUAUUGGACUUUUGGAUUGCAACUAACAUGUUGAAUGGAUGAUUUUUUAAAUGUCAUUGAUCACAUACCGUAGACAGUGCACAUUGUCCUGAGACUUUUCAAUUUUGUGAAUGAGUAUUUCCACUAAUAGCUAACUGGCAUGUAGAUGUAAAUGUAAAGUGCCACAUGAAUCACAGCUCAGUUAUCACAAAUGGUUAGAGGUUCCCUCAAAAGCCUUUACACUUUUCUCUAUUCUGUGCAGAUCAGAUCAUGUAUUCACACGCCACAGAAGUUGACAUUACUCUUCCAAUGACUUGCAUUUUAGGACAUGUAUAUCAGCCUCCUUCAUCAUGUCACAGGAGAGCAUUCAUGGGCACUGGGUAGCUGCCACCAUGGUCCCCUAGUUGAGGUCAGGGACAAAGAGUGGAUUGAGGCAGAUUCUGUGGCCCAUCAGAAACUUGUUGAAUUAAUUAUGGAUGCACAAUGGCUCAAGGACAUCCCAAAGUAUCUGCAUUUCACGUGUGUAAGACUGAUCUUUUGUUACCUACAAUUUUGCUCUAUACUGUGCUUCUGUGCCCUUGUUAAAAAUAUGUCAUCAUCUUUGUUUUUUUUUUCCGAAAUGCCCAGAUCAACUGUGGAAUUGUCAUUCCAUAAGCAUAUCCUGAUGUACACUAGCUUCAGCUUCAACCCCCCUGUAUACAGUGGUUGCAUAUGCCAGCUGCUUUUUCAUAUAUAUAUACACACACACACACACACACACACAUAUAUAUAACCAUAUUAUUGCUGUUAACCAAUAAUAAAAGAUGUUUUGUGUCAUUACAGGUAUGGGAAGGUGUAUAAUAAAAUGUCUGGGAAAUGGCGCUUGCAAACCAUAAAGGAGGACAAGGACUACGGCUAUGUCUGUGAACUCCAAGUAUCUAUUCUGCAUCCGAUGCAGGGAUGCCACUUAAAAAAAAAAUCAAGGUCUGGUGACCCAAGACUUCUUGGACCUUUUUCAGGUGAACAGCUUUUGAGGACACAGGUCAGAGGAGGAAUAGGGAUGUAGCCUGCAUACUGGCCCUGGGGAUCAUUCCAGUUCCUUCUGGCCAGUCUGAAGACCCUUUCCUCCAAAAUGUAGAGGUCCAU
This is a long non-coding RNA of Thunnus maccoyii (southern bluefin tuna), 2775 nucleotides long. RefSeq lists it as uncharacterized. The transcript is spliced from 3 exons. The record is from RefSeq and is a predicted model, not a curated record. NCBI's taxonomy places the organism in Eukaryota, Metazoa, Chordata, Actinopteri, Scombriformes, Scombridae.